RNAcentral lists this long non-coding RNA (1684 nucleotides) under Brassica napus (rape). RNAcentral's name for it is "long non-coding RNA (BNAP_LNC019585)". The record is from RNAcentral. Lineage: Eukaryota; Viridiplantae; Streptophyta; Magnoliopsida; Brassicales; Brassicaceae.
GGAUAUUGAGGUGAAUGGUAGAAAAGUUGGAGUGCACCAAGGGAAUGGGCACUUCGAUCUUAAGGAGUGGAAGACACUAAGAGUUGGAGAUAUAUUAAAGGUGGAGAAAAACGAUUUCUUUCCGGCAGACCUUGUCCUGCUUUCAUCUAGCUACGAGGACGCUGUUUGCUACGUAGAGACAAUGAACCUCGACGGGGAAACAAAUCUGAAACUCAAACAAGGACUUGAAGUAACCAUGUCACUGCGCGAAGAAGUUGACUUCAGAGACUUCGAGGCUUUUAUCAAAUGCGAGGAUCCUAACGCUAACUUGUAUUCCUUUGUCGGCACUAUGGAGCUCAAGGGAGAAAAGCACCCUCUCUCGCCGCAACAGCUUCUUCUAAGAGGCUCAAAACUCAGGAACACAGAGUAUAUCUAUGGGGCUGUUAUCUUCACGGGUCCUGACACAAAGGUAGUCCAGAACUCAACGGAGCCUCCUUCAAAGAGAAGCAUGAUCGAGAGGAAGAUGGAUAAGAUCAUAUACCUCAUGUUCCUUAUGGUAGUUUCAUUGGCCUUCCUCGGUGCGAUUUUGUUUGGGAUAGUACUGCAACCAACCUGAAUCAGCUGAUUACUGCGACAACUACGUGAGGACCACCAAGUACACUCCCGCCAGUUUCCUCCCUAAAUCACUCUUCGAGCAGUUCAGGAGAGUCGCCAACUUCUACUUCCUUGUCGUUGGGAUCUUGUCUUUCACUCCUCUCGCUCCUUACACAGCUGUGAGCGCCAUUGUUCCCUUGACUUUCGUCAUCCUUGCUACUAUGGUUAAAGAAGGUGUCGAAGAUUGGCGUAGGAAACAGCAGGUACCCUUUCAUGUUGGUUCAACUUGAAAUGAGUGGUGGUUGAUAGAUUAGAAAAGGACUUGAUGAUCCUCAAUGUUCAAAAAAUCGCUAGGCGGUGGUUAGACGCUUUAUAGGAGAUUAUUGAUUAGGCGGAUGCCUAAACCAAGCUCCACCUAGACCGAUUUUGUAGAACACAUGGAUCUUACUAGGAUGCUAGCUUUUAAAUGAAACAUGUGUUGUUAUAUUGUUCCGGAUCUGUGGUUUAGGUUGGAAUAAGUUACAUUGCUCAGAACUAAAGUAUUACUCUCUACUUCAGUCGCAGAUUGAUCUUUAGUUUAGGUUGGAUUAAGUUACAUUGCUCUGAAGGCGGGCGCGUAGACCGAUUUUUUGAUUAAAAUAUCAGCUUAAAAUUCAUUUCGUUUAUAUUCGAUUUGCCGCCUAGACCGCUUUUUAGAACAUUGCUCUGAACUGUGAUUUAAGUAUUACUCUCUACUUCAUUUGCAGAUUGAUAUAAUUCUGAUUGAAAUUAUCGUGCUUUUUAGGAUAUUGAGGUGAAUGGUAGAAAAGUUGGAGUGCACCAAGGGAAUGGGCACUUCGAUCUUAAGGAGUGGAAGACACUAAGAGUUGGAGAUAUAUUAAAGGUGGAGAAAAACGAUUUCUUUCCGGCAGACCUUGUCCUGCUUUCAUCUAGCUACGAGGACGCUGUUUGCUACGUAGAGACAAUGAACCUCGACGGGGAAACAAAUCUGAAACUCAAACAAGGACUUGAAGUAACCAUGUCACUGCGCGAAGAAGUUGACUUCAGAGACUUCGAGGCUUUUAUCAAAUGCGAGGAUCCUAACGCUAACUUGUAUUCCUUUGUCGGCACU